CCUACGGGUGGCAGCAGUGAGGAAUAUUGGUCAAUGGGCGGAAGCCUGAACCAGCCAAGUCGCGUGAGGGACUAAGGCCCUACGGGUCGUAAACCUCUUUUGCCGGGGAUCAGUGCCCAGCUCGCGAGCUGGGAGGGAGCGUACCCGGAGAAAAAGCAUCGGCUAACUCCGUGCCAGCAGCCGCGGUAAUACGGGGGAUGCAAGCGUUAUCCGGAUUUAUUGGGUUUAAAGGGUGCGUAGGCUGUGAGGUAAGUCAGCGGUGAAAUGCCCCCGCUCAACGGGGUGAAGUACCAUUGAUACUGCCUUGCUGGAAUGCGGAUGCCGUGGGAGGAAUGUGUGGUGUAGCGGUGAAAUGCAUAGAUAUCACACAGAACACCGAUUGCGAAGGCAUCUCACGAAUCCGCGAUUGACGCUGAUGCACGAAAGCGUGGGUAUCAAACAGGAUUAGAUACCCCUGUAGUC
This 462-nucleotide ribosomal RNA is filed under the name uncultured bacterium. RNAcentral describes it as "partial 16S ribosomal RNA". It matches the Rfam family "Bacterial small subunit ribosomal RNA", at positions 338 to 795 of the family's 1533-position model. The record is from RNAcentral.